This 616-nucleotide ribosomal RNA is filed under the name Macrolycus dotatus. RNAcentral's name for it is "partial 16S large subunit ribosomal RNA". It matches the Rfam family "Bacterial large subunit ribosomal RNA", at positions 1804 to 2716 of the family's 2925-position model. The record is from RNAcentral. Lineage: Eukaryota; Metazoa; Arthropoda; Insecta; Coleoptera; Lycidae.
UUAACAAAAACAUGUCCUUUUGAUUUUUAUUUAAGGUCUAAUCUGCUCAAUGAUUAUUUAAAUUGCCGCAGUAUUUUAACUGUGCGAAGGUAGCAUAAUAAUUAGUUUCUUAAUUGGGGGCCGGAAUGAAUGAUUGGACGAAAAAGUUACUGUCUCUUUUUAAUGUUUUAUUGAAUUUUAUUUUUAAGUUAAAAAGCUUAAAUUUUAAUGAAAGACGAGAAGACCCUAUAGAGUUUUAUAUUAAAAUAUAAUUGAUUUUUAGAAAUAAAUUUUAGUUUUUGAUAUUUAGUUGGGGUGACUUGGAGAUUUACUUAAUUCUUUAAAUUUUUAAUUGAUGAUAUUUAAUUUUUUAAUCUGCAAAUUGUAAAUUUAUUAUAAAUUACCUUAGGGAUAACAGCGUAAUUUUUCUUGGAAGUUCUUAUUCAAAGAAGAUUUUGCGACCUCGAUGUUGGAUUAAAAUAAAUUUUUGGUGCAGUAACUUAAAAAUUAGGUCUGUUCGACCUUUAAAAUUUUACAUGAUCUGAGUUUAAACCGGUGUAAGCCAGGUUGGAUUCUAUCUUUAGUAAGUUUAUUCAUCUUAGUACGAAAGGACCAGAUGUUUAUUAGAUAUUAAUUG